Molecule: ribosomal RNA, 497 nt
Filed under: uncultured bacterium
Lineage: Bacteria
Description: partial 16S ribosomal RNA
Rfam family: Bacterial small subunit ribosomal RNA
Source: RNAcentral
GAUGAACGCUGGCGGCGUGCCUAAUACAUGCAAGUCGAGCGAACAGAUGAGGAGCUUGCUCCUCUGACGUUAGCGGCGGACGGGUGAGUAACACGUGGAUAACCUACCUAUAAGACUGGGAUAACUUCGGGAAACCGGAGCUAAUACCGGGUAAUAUAUUGAACCGCAUGGUUCAAUAGUGAAAGACGGUUUUGCUGUCACUUAUAGAUGGAUCCGCGCCGCAUUAGCUAGUUGGUAAGGUAACGGCUUACCAAGGCAACGAUGCGUAGCCGACCUGAGAGGGUGAUCGGCCACACUGGAACUGAGACACGGUCCAGACUCCUACGGGAGGCAGCAGUAGGGAAUCUUCCGCAAUGGGCGAAAGCCUGACGGAGCAACGCCGCGUGAGUGAUGAAGGUCUUCGGAUCGUAAAACUCUGUUAUUAGGGAAGAACAAAUGUGUAAGUAACUAUGCACGUCUUGACGGUACCUAAUCAGAAAGCCACGGCUAACUACGUG